RNAcentral lists this small RNA (90 nucleotides) under Flavobacterium sp. TAB 87. Its description in RNAcentral is "Flavo-1 RNA". It matches the Rfam family "Flavo-1 RNA". Lineage: Bacteria; Pseudomonadati; Bacteroidota; Flavobacteriia; Flavobacteriales; Flavobacteriaceae. The record is from Rfam by way of RNAcentral.
UUUUAGCCCAGAUAGCAGCGACAUCCUUUUGUGUUGAGCCAAUAUUUUAUUGGACCAACACAAAAGAUAUAGCGUAUAGCUGGAUUAGCU